Molecule: ribosomal RNA, 541 nt
Filed under: Bifidobacterium catenulatum
Lineage: Bacteria; Bacillati; Actinomycetota; Actinomycetes; Bifidobacteriales; Bifidobacteriaceae
Also listed under: 1 other name
Description: bacterial SSU rRNA
Rfam family: Bacterial small subunit ribosomal RNA
Source: RNAcentral
UCUCCUGGAAAACGGGUGGUAAUGCCGGAUGCUCCGACUCCUCGCAUGGGGUGUCGGGAAAGAUUUCAUCGGUAUGGGAUGGGGUCGCGUCCUAUCAGGUAGUCGGCGGGGUAACGGCCCACCGAGCCUACGACGGGUAGCCGGCCUGAGAGGGCGACCGGCCACAUUGGGACUGAGAUACGGCCCAGACUCCUACGGGAGGCAGCAGUGGGGAAUAUUGCACAAUGGGCGCAAGCCUGAUGCAGCGACGCCGCGUGCGGGAUGACGGCCUUCGGGUUGUAAACCGCUUUUGAUCGGGAGCAAGCCUUCGGGUGAGUGUACCUUUCGAAUAAGCACCGGCUAACUACGUGCCAGCAGCCGCGGUAAUACGUAGGGUGCAAGCGUUAUCCGGAAUUAUUGGGCGUAAAGGGCUCGUAGGCGGUUCGUCGCGUCCGGUGUGAAAGUCCAUCGCUUAACGGUGGAUCUGCGCCGGGUACGGGCGGGCUGGAGUGCGGUAGGGGAGACUGGAAUUCCCGGUGUAACGGUGGAAUGUGUAGAUAUC